This 373-nucleotide ribosomal RNA is filed under the name uncultured bacterium. RNAcentral describes it as "bacterial SSU rRNA". It matches the Rfam family "Bacterial small subunit ribosomal RNA", at positions 527 to 896 of the family's 1533-position model. The record is from RNAcentral.
GUAGGGGCCAAGCGUUGUCCGGAUUUAUUGGGCGUAAAGAGCUCGUAGGCGGUUUGGAUAGUCGGGUGUGAAAACUCCGAGCUCAACUCGGAGACGCCACCCGAUACUGCCAUGACUAGAGUCCGGUAGGGGAGCAGGGAAUUCCUGGUGUAGCGGUGAAAUGCGCAGAUAUCAGGAGGAACACCGGUGGCGAAGGCGCUGCCCUGGGCCGGUACUGACGCUGAGGAGCGAAAGCGUGGGUAGCAAACAGGAUUAGAUACCCUGGUAGUCCACGCCGUAAACGUUGGGCACUAGGUGUGGGCCCUAACCAACGGGGUCCGUGCCGCAGCUAACGCAUUAAGUGCCCCGCCUGGGGAGUACGGCCGCAAGGCUA